Long non-coding RNA from Oncorhynchus keta (chum salmon), 689 nucleotides. RefSeq lists it as uncharacterized. The transcript is spliced from 3 exons. The record is from RefSeq and is a predicted model, not a curated record. Lineage: Eukaryota; Metazoa; Chordata; Actinopteri; Salmoniformes; Salmonidae.
CAGUGUACACUCACACCCUCCCCUAGGGGAGCAGGUGACAGACGUUAGGGACGCAGUGUACACUCACACCCUCCCCUAGGGGAGCAGGUGACAGACGUUAGGGACGCAGUGUACACUCACACCCUCCCCUAGGGAGCAGGUGACAGACGUUAGGGACGCAGUGUACACUCACACCCUCCCCUGGGGAGCAGGUGACAGACGUUAGGGACGCAGUGUACACUCACACCCUCCCCUGGGGAGCAGGUGACAGACGUUAGGGACGCAGUGUACACUCACACCCUCCCCUAGGGGAGCAGGUGACAGACGUUAGGGACGCAGUGUACACUCACACCCUCCCCUAGGGGAGCAGGUGACAGACGUUAGGGACGCAGUGUACACUCACACCCUCCCCUAGGGGAGCAGGUGACAGACGUUAGGGACGCAGUGUACACUCACACCCUCCCCUAGGGGAGCAGGUGACAGACGUUAGGGACGCAGUGUACACUCACACCCUCCCCUAGGGAGCAGGUGACAGACGUUAGGGACGCAGUGUACACUCACACCCUCCCCUGGGGAGCAGGUGACAGACGUUAGGGACGCAGUGUACACUCACACCCUCCCCUGGGGAGCAGGUGACAGACGUUAGGGACGCAGUGUACACUCACACCCUCCCCUGGGGAGCAGGUGACAGACGUUAGGGACGCAGUGUA